GAGAGUGUAUGGGAGACUACUAAUCUCCAAGACAAUUUGUAUUGUAACAUUUU
RNAcentral lists this transfer RNA (53 nucleotides) under Brentisentis yangtzensis. Its description in RNAcentral is "tRNA-Ser". Lineage: Eukaryota; Metazoa; Acanthocephala; Palaeacanthocephala; Echinorhynchida; Leptorhynchoididae. The record is from RNAcentral.